GACGAACGCUGGCGGCGUGGAUUAGGCAUGCAAGUCGAACGGUAUCAUCCUUUCGGGGGUGAGAGAGUGGCGAACUGGUGAGUAACACGUAGGUUAUCUACCCUCAAGACGGGGACAACCCAGGGAAACUUGGGCUAAUACCGGAUGUGAGCAACUUUUAGUUGUUUGAAAGGUGGCGUAAGCUGUCGCUUGGGGAUGAGCCUGCGUCCUAUUAGUUAGUUGGUGAGGUAACGGCUCACCUAGGCAAUGAUAGGUAGGCGGCCUUAACGGGUGGUCGCCCACACUGGGAUUGAGAUACGGCCCAGACUCCUACGGGAGGCAGCAGUCGAGAAUAGUCUACAAUGGUCGGAAGACUGAUAGUGCGACGCCGCGUGAACGAUGAAUCCCUUCGGGGUGUAAAGUUCUUUUAUAUGUGAGCAGUGCUUCUUAUAUUAACAGUAUGGGGAGAGAGAUAUUAGCAUAUGAAUAAGCAACGGCUAACUCCGUGCCAGCAGCCGCGGUAACGUACG
RNAcentral lists this ribosomal RNA (509 nucleotides) under uncultured bacterium. RNAcentral describes it as "bacterial SSU rRNA". It matches the Rfam family "Bacterial small subunit ribosomal RNA", at positions 28 to 527 of the family's 1533-position model. The record is from RNAcentral.